Molecule: ribosomal RNA, 253 nt
Filed under: uncultured bacterium
Lineage: Bacteria
Description: partial 16S ribosomal RNA
Rfam family: Bacterial small subunit ribosomal RNA
Source: RNAcentral
UACGUAGGUGACAAGCGUUGUCCGGAUUUACUGGGCGUAAAGAGCGCGCAGGCGGUCGAUCAAGUCGAGUGUGAAAGCCCCCGGCUCAACUGGGGAGGGUCAUUCGAUACUGAUCGACUCGAAGGCAGGAGAGGGUAGUGGAAUUCCCGGUGUAGUGGUGAAAUGCGUAGAUAUCGGGAGGAAUACCAGCGGCGAAGGCGGCCUUCUGGACGGUGACUGACGCUGAGACGCGAAAGCGUGGGGAGCAAACAGG